GGAGAGGUGGUAGAGUGGUCGAUUACGUUGGUCUUGAAAACCAAUGAACAGCAAUGUUCCCAGGGUUCGAAUCCCUGUCUCUCCGCCA
This 88-nucleotide transfer RNA is filed under the name bacterium. RNAcentral describes it as "tRNA-Ser". It matches the Rfam family "tRNA". From Rfam's summary of the family: Transfer RNA (tRNA) molecules are approximately 80 nucleotides in length. Their secondary structure includes four short double-helical elements and three loops (D, anti-codon, and T loops). The record is from RNAcentral.